GGCAGCAGUGGGGAAUAUUGCACAAUGGGCGCAAGCCUGAUGCAGCCAUGCCGCGUGUAUGAAGAAGGCCUUCGGGUUGUAAAGUACUUUCAGCGGGGAGGAAGGGUUCAGCUUGAACAGAGUUGGACUUUGACGUUACCCGCAGAAGAAGCACCGGCUAACUCCGUGCCAGCAGCCGCGGUAAUACGGAGGGUGCAAGCGUUAAUCGGAAUGACUGGGCGUAAAGCGCACGCAGGCGGUCAAUUAAGUU
Molecule: ribosomal RNA, 250 nt
Filed under: Photorhabdus luminescens subsp. mexicana
Lineage: Bacteria; Pseudomonadati; Pseudomonadota; Gammaproteobacteria; Enterobacterales; Morganellaceae
Description: Photorhabdus sp. MEX47-22 partial 16S ribosomal RNA
Rfam family: Bacterial small subunit ribosomal RNA
Source: RNAcentral